RNAcentral lists this long non-coding RNA (901 nucleotides) under Ananas comosus (pineapple). RNAcentral describes it as "long non-coding RNA (ACOM_LNC011060)". Lineage: Eukaryota; Viridiplantae; Streptophyta; Magnoliopsida; Poales; Bromeliaceae. The record is from RNAcentral.
CUGUACUAUAUAUCUAUGGUACCGGAGCUUUGGUACUAUAGUUUUAUUUUUAAUUUUAGAAUGUUCAAACCAAUAAUCUACACGGUUAAAAUUGAUCUAAGAUAUUUGAAGUUUUUAAAAAUAAAAUGUUAUAUUUUUUUCGACAUAGUUUACUUUAUGAUCAAAUCGUUUCAAAAUUAUCAAAUUUUAAUGGCUACUAUUGCGAGUUUGUAGUUUAUUGGUAUAGGAAAAUUUAGAUUUAUUUAUAUUUUGAUAGAAAAUAUUUUAAACUAUCUAUAUCAAGGUCAGCAUCCUUAAUGUUAAAUUCUAAAAUCCUAUGCUCAAAUUUUAAAAAUUGUUCAAUUUUCGUCGUUUAUUUUGACAUAAUUUACUUACUAAGUAAACGAUAUCGAAAAAUACUAAAAUUUUAUUUCUAAGAUCUUCAUAUACCCUAGAUAAUAUUUAACGGUAUGGAUCGUUAAUUUGAACACCAUAAGAUUGAAAACAAGACUAUAGUAUUGGAGCUCCGGUACUAUAGAUAGUAUAGCAGCCUAAUUCUAUAUAUAUAUAUAUAUAUAUAUAUAAAGAUAUAUAUGAGUCUAGCUACUAUACUAUUAUAAGUAUAGAUUUUUUUAUAUUCAUCAGUUUUCAGCUGUUAGAUCUAUCACUUUGACCAUUUUCAUUCGAUAGAUCAAGAUUAUACUAUUCAAUCAAUCACCAACUCCACUCUAGGAGAUUAUUAUCAUCUUAAUCGCAUAUCUCUUCAUUCAACGGCUGAAAACUUCGGAAACAAAAGAAUCUAUAUUCAUAAGAGUAUAGUAGCCCUACUGCCCUAACCAUGUAUUUAGAGUCCGGCUAAUAUAUUCUUAUAAGUAUAAAUUUUUUUACACUCAUAAAUUUUCGCCCGUUAUUUUUUUUUUUU